ACACAGGAUCAGGGUGGCUUUCAUCUGCAUGGAUCUCACUUGUUAGCUGCGAACAGCAAGAGGCCAGCUGUGAUGAUGUUAGCCAACACAGGUCAUGCUCUAGGGGACAUGGAUUUUCCCCUAUUAAGAGGAUGAUUAGUCCAGUAAAUUACAGCUUUCAGAUGAAGACGACUGUUCCAUCUCUGUGCUGGAAAGGGGAAGAGGAUAGGAGGUUCAUUUCACCACAAGAAUAAUGAAAAAAUAUCUUUACGAUAGGAGAUACGUGGGCUGGAGAGAUGGCUCAGCGGUUAAGAGCACUGACUGCUCUUCCAGAGGUCCUGAGUUCAAUUCCCAGCAACCACACAGUGGCUCACAACCAUCUGGG
Molecule: long non-coding RNA, 364 nt
Organism: Rattus norvegicus (Norway rat)
Lineage: Eukaryota; Metazoa; Chordata; Mammalia; Rodentia; Muridae
Source: RefSeq, a predicted model, not a curated record